GCGGCAGACGGGUGAGUAACGCGUGGGAACGUACCUUUUGCUACGGAAUAACUCAGGGAAACUUGUGCUAAUACCGUAUGUGCCCUUCGGGGGAAAGAUUUAUCGGCAAAGGAUCGGCCCGCGUUGGAUUAGCUAGUUGGUGAGGUAAAGACUCACCAAGGCGACGAUCCAUAGCUGGUCUGAGAGGAUGAUCAGCCACAUUGGGACUGAGACACGGCCCAAACUCCUACGGGAGGCAGCAGUGGGGAAUAUUGGACAAUGGGCGCAAGCCUGAUCCAGCCAUGCCGCGUGAGUGAUGAAGGCCUUAGGGUUGUAAAGCUCUUUUGUCCGGGAAGAUAAUGACUGUACCGGAAGAAUAAGCCCCGGCUAACUUCGUGCCAGCAGCCGCGGUAAUACGAAGGGGGCUAGCGUUGCUCGGAAUCACUGGGCGUAAAGGGCGCGUAGGCGGACUCUUAAGUCAGGGGUGAAAUCCCGGGGCUCAACCCCGGAACUGCCUUUGAUACUGGAAGUCUUGAGUAUGGUAGAGGUGAGUGGAAUUCCGAGUGUAGAGGUGAAAUUCGUAGAUAUUCGCAAGAACACCGGUGGCGAAGGCGGCCAACUGGACCAUUACUGACGCUGAGGCGCGAAAGC
This 630-nucleotide ribosomal RNA is filed under the name uncultured Hyphomicrobiales bacterium. Its description in RNAcentral is "bacterial SSU rRNA". It matches the Rfam family "Bacterial small subunit ribosomal RNA", at positions 95 to 760 of the family's 1533-position model. The record is from RNAcentral. Lineage: Bacteria; Pseudomonadati; Pseudomonadota; Alphaproteobacteria; Hyphomicrobiales.